This 387-nucleotide ribosomal RNA is filed under the name uncultured bacterium. RNAcentral describes it as "bacterial SSU rRNA". It matches the Rfam family "Bacterial small subunit ribosomal RNA", at positions 30 to 418 of the family's 1533-position model. The record is from RNAcentral.
AUUGAACGCUGGCGGCAUGCCUUACACAUGCAAGUCGAACGGCAGCGGGCCUUCGGGUGCCGGCGAGUGGCGAACGGGUGAGUAAUGCAUCGGAACGUGCCAUUGAGUGGGGGAUAACGUAGCGAAAGUUGCGCUAAUACCGCAUAUUCUGUGAGCAGGAAAGCAGGGGGACCGCAAGGCCUUGCGCUCUUUGAGCGGCCGAUGUCAGAUUAGCUAGUUGGUGAGGUAAAGGCUUACCAAGGCGACGAUCUGUAGCGGGUCUGAGAGGAUGAUCCGCCACACUGGAACUGAGACACGGUCCAGACUCCUACGGGAGGCAGCAGUGGGGAAUUUUGGACAAUGGGGGCAACCCUGAUCCAGCCAUGCCGCGUGAGUGAAGAAGGCCUC